GGAUUGUGGCUCAGCGGUAGAGUGCUCACCUAGCACAUGGGAGGCCCUGGGUUCGAUUUUUAGCACCA
Molecule: transfer RNA, 68 nt
Filed under: Marmota monax (woodchuck)
Lineage: Eukaryota; Metazoa; Chordata; Mammalia; Rodentia; Sciuridae
Description: tRNA.Ala
Source: RNAcentral